This 1968-nucleotide long non-coding RNA is filed under the name Prunus dulcis (almond). RNAcentral describes it as "sRNA ncRNA". Lineage: Eukaryota; Viridiplantae; Streptophyta; Magnoliopsida; Rosales; Rosaceae. The record is from RNAcentral.
CUCUUCCUGCUAUUUCGGUGACUCGGCCUAAUAGAUCUUCGUUUUCUACGGUAAUUCAAAACCUAUGCUAAUUAUUGUGCUGUUUUUUGAUCUGGUGUGGCCUGGUUUUGAUGUUAUGCGAUUGAAUUAUUUGGAAAUGGACUUUUCUUGAUAUCUUUUUGUUCAAUUUAGGCGGUGUUGUUUUGAGAUCUGAACUGUGGCUACUUUAUUGUGUUUCGAGUUCGUUUAUGAUUGUAUUAGAGUGAUAGCUUCUCUUCGGCUGAAAACCUAGUGGAUUAUUUUGAUGAUAAUAGAUAUUGCAUUGUUGCCUACCUAAUGGUCCUGUCUCUUUCUAAAAUUUGCCUGAGGGCAUCAGGAUAGGGCCUUAAUAGAUUCAUGCUUUCUUAUUUUUUUCUCCUUGACACAAUUUAGCACUGAGAGGAAAUAUGCCAAAGAUGCCAAUUUAGUUGUGUAUAUGAGUUGGUAAUUAUAAUUGACUGGCCCAGGUUGGUGCCCUUCACGCCCCAGCUUUCUCAUUAAAUUAAUGUUUUUUACAUAGUAAUUAUAUAUACACUUAUCAGAUAUUAUUUUAGAAUUCUCGUAACAUUAAAAAAAUAAAAUAUAAAUAUAAAAAAAGGUGCUAGCUUUGUUAUGAGUGUGUAGAGUAAUUGUUUGGUGAUUGGGUGUGCUAUUUUUUUAGUGUGAGAAAUGGUAUUGUUAUCAAUUUUAUAUUUAUAUACAUUUUGUGAUAUGUUAUGUUGUAAUUUUAAAAACUACAUUGCAAAAAAUGAAAAUUGCAUUGCAAAAAACGGAAACUAUAAUGCAUAAAACAGAAACUGUAAUGCAGAAAACAAAAAAUGAGGGAUUUAUUAGAUUUUAUAUUUUAGAUUGAUCAUUGUAUAAUUCUAGAGCUGAUCAUGAGGGAUUUAUUAGAUUUUAGAUUGAUCAUUGACACAAAAUCAAGUUCUCGGAGACGAAUGGCGAUCUUCAAUGACACAAAAUCUUCUUCUUUUUUCGGAAACUGCAUUGCAAACAAUAGAAAUUGCAUUGCAGAAAACAGAAACUGCAUUGCGAAGAACAUGAACUGCAUUGCAGAAAACAGAAACUGUAAUGCAAAAAACAAAACAUGCAACCUAUUUUACGUUCUAGGUGGUCUUCAGUCCGAUUCCCCCUCUCCAAACAUGGUCUGCAAUUUUUGUUUAGUGCUGUUUUGUUUUGUUUUGUUUAUUUUGUUACUAUUAUAGUUAUGUUUUUAUUAGAUUGUAGAUUGAUCAUUGUUAUUAAAAUACACAAUGCAUUGUAGUUUUUAUUUCUAUAGAAGUGGUUUUUGUUUUUGUUACAGCCUAUGUUUUUUUGUUACAGUUUUUGUUUUUGUUUGCAAUUUCUAUUGUUAUUUACAUUUUUUGUUUUUGUUUACAUUAUCGAUAUCUACACUAUUUUGUUUUGUAUAACUCUAGAGCUAAGCAUGAGGGAUUUGGUACAAAGUUUGCACGUAUCGAUGUUGAAAUAAUUUAUUUUAUAUAAAAAAAAAUCAUUGAUUGUUAAUGAAAAUAUUGCGUAACUGACAAAAUAUCACAAAAACAAGGUUGGUUUAGUGGUUUGUGAAUGAGGCUACCCUCCUUUGAGGGUCAAGGUUUACGUCUCUUCAAGCACAUUGAAUUUCUUAUUUUUUUUAGGUUGAGGGCAACAUUAUUGGUGACCGGCAAGGGACGGCGAUGACUGGCUGGUAGCCAGCGAGGGACACGAUGGCUAGCCGGGAGGGGGAUUGUUGAUAGUGGACAUGUGGCAUAGUGUUCUUGCCUUAGAAUGAGUGGCAUUAUGUGUAAUUUUGAUAUUUUUUAAUUACAUUAUUGUGAAAUUAGGUAUUAUUUUUUGUUUAAAAUGAAAUAGUUAAAUUUGGCAUAAUGGCAUCUUUGUGUAAUUUUGAGGUUUUUCAAUGCAUGAUUGUAAAGUUACAUCCUAUUUUUUAGUCAUUGGUCUUUUGCUAAU